UACGUAGGGCGCAAGCGUUUAUCCGGAAUUAUUGGGCGUAAAGAGCUCGUAGGCGGUCUGUCGCGUCGGAUGUGAAAAUCCAGGGCUCAACCCUGGACCUGCAUUCGAUACGGGCAGACUAGAGUUCGGCAGGGGAGACUGGAAUUCCUGGUGUAGCGGUGAAAUGCGCAGAUAUCAGGAGGAACACCGGUGGCGAAGGCGGGUCUCUGGGCCGAAACUGACGCUGAGGAGCGAAAGCGUGGGGAGCAAACAGG
Molecule: ribosomal RNA, 254 nt
Filed under: uncultured bacterium
Lineage: Bacteria
Description: partial 16S ribosomal RNA
Rfam family: Bacterial small subunit ribosomal RNA
Source: RNAcentral